This 253-nucleotide ribosomal RNA is filed under the name uncultured bacterium. RNAcentral's name for it is "partial 16S ribosomal RNA". It matches the Rfam family "Bacterial small subunit ribosomal RNA", at positions 524 to 776 of the family's 1533-position model. The record is from RNAcentral.
UACAGAGGUCUCAAGCGUUGUUCGGAUUCAUUGGGCGUAAAGGGUGCGUAGGUGGCGGGGUAAGUCAGGUGUGAAAUCUCGAGGUUCAACCUCGAAACUGCACUUGAUACUGCCUUGCUGGAGUACUGGAGAGGAGAUUGGAAUUUACGGUGUAGCAGUGAAAUGCGUAGAUAUCGUAAGGAAGACCAGUGGCGAAGGCGAAUCUCUGGACAGUUACUGACACUGAGGCACGAAGGCCAGGGGAGCAAACGGG